This 252-nucleotide ribosomal RNA is filed under the name uncultured bacterium. RNAcentral describes it as "partial 16S ribosomal RNA". It matches the Rfam family "Bacterial small subunit ribosomal RNA", at positions 525 to 776 of the family's 1533-position model. The record is from RNAcentral.
ACGAAGGGGGCUAGCGUUGUUCGGAAUCACUGGGCGUAAAGCGCACGUAGGCGGAUCGAUCAGUUGGGGGUGAAAUCCCAGGGCUUAACCCUGGAACUGCCUUCAAUACUGUCGAUCUUGAGUCCGAGAGAGGUGAGUGGAAUUCCUAGUGUAGAGGUGAAAUUCGUAGAUAUUAGGAAGAACACCAGUGGCGAAGGCGGCUCACUGGCUCGGUACUGACGCUGAGGUGCGAAAGCGUGGGGAGCAAACAGG